Osmia lignaria (orchard mason bee) is the source of this 426-nucleotide non-coding RNA. NCBI's taxonomy places the organism in Eukaryota, Metazoa, Arthropoda, Insecta, Hymenoptera, Megachilidae. The record is from RefSeq and is a predicted model, not a curated record.
GUCACCAGCGCUUCGGAAUGCCUAAUAAUUUUAUCAAUACAAUAAUAUUUUCGUUCACUACGUUUCUCUAUUCUUGUUGUAACCAUUUGAGUGGUAAGAAACCAAAUACAAUUAUUAUGUUAUCAGUGCCUACAGAUACAAAAAGACGAGCACCAUCAGUCUCUCUUUGGAUGUCAAAGAGAUAAAACGCCAUCUCUACAGAAACGGCGCAAACUACUCGACAACUUGCCGAGAGUCGAGCGAUAAGACGACAACAUACCAAUUACCGACGAGUCGGUCAAUAAGUCGAUAACUAGUUUCAGCUGCUCUUCGAUAGAUGGCGGCAUAGUUCUGAUGUUUCGGAAAACGAUUUAUUUGUACACCUAAGCUACUUUGUAUUUUUAUUUCUGUAAACUUUUAUAUGUUCACAAUAAAGAGACACACAUA